This 85-nucleotide transfer RNA is filed under the name Felis catus (domestic cat). It matches the Rfam family "tRNA". Rfam says of the family: Transfer RNA (tRNA) molecules are approximately 80 nucleotides in length. RNAcentral also lists the same sequence under 2 other names. The record is from Rfam by way of RNAcentral. Lineage: Eukaryota; Metazoa; Chordata; Mammalia; Carnivora; Felidae.
GCCUGGGUGGCUCAGUCGGUUGAGCAUCCGACUUCAGCUCGGGUCAUGAUCUCACAGUUUGUGGGUUCGAGCCCCACAUCAGGCU